UGAGGAAUAUUGGUCAAUGGGCGAGAGCCUGAACCAGCCAAGUCGCGUGAAGGAAGAAGGUUCUAUGGAUUGUAAACUUCUUUUGUAAGGGAAUAAAAAGAGUUACGUGUAACUUAUUGUAUGUACUUUACGAAUAAGGAUCGGCUAACUCCGUGCCAGCAGCCGCGGUAAUACGGAGGAUCCAAGCGUUAUCCGGAUUUAUUGGGUUUAAAGGGUGCGUAGGCGGGAAAAUAAGUCAGCGGUGAAAGGUUGCAGCUCAACUGUAAAAUAGCAAUUGAAACUGUUUUUCUUGAGUGAAAAUGAGGUAGGAGGAAUGUGUUGUGUAGCGGUGAAAUGCUUGGAUAUAACACAGAACUCCGAUUGCGAAGGCAGAUUACUGGGAUGCAACUGACGCUGAGGCACGAAAGCGUGGGGGUCAAACAGGAUU
RNAcentral lists this ribosomal RNA (427 nucleotides) under uncultured bacterium. RNAcentral describes it as "bacterial SSU rRNA". It matches the Rfam family "Bacterial small subunit ribosomal RNA", at positions 355 to 779 of the family's 1533-position model. The record is from RNAcentral.